Long non-coding RNA from Hippocampus zosterae (dwarf seahorse), 513 nucleotides. RefSeq lists it as uncharacterized. The record is from RefSeq and is a predicted model, not a curated record. NCBI's taxonomy places the organism in Eukaryota, Metazoa, Chordata, Actinopteri, Syngnathiformes, Syngnathidae. The transcript has 2 exons.
GCUCCCUCCCCCUUGAACAGAUCCUCCAACAGCUGCUCGCCUGCGGUGCCGGCCCGCGACGCCCACAGAGCAGCUCCCUCUCGUAGGCCAAGUGAGCGCAGCAGCCGCGCAUAGUCCAAAAAUGCGGUCUCUAUGAGUUUAUGUGCAAAUUCGUUGGCCUCCAUGACCCCGUAUUUCAGGCAGGCUUCGAUAAAGAGAGCGGCACUGUCAAAGUGCCUUGUACUGACAGCAAAGUGGAUGGAGGAGAAGACAGACAUGCAAUUGUCAGAAAGCAGCACGAAACCUGAUUUGAUGUGAGUGACCCUACAGCAUACGUGAGAUACAUGUCUCCUGAAUGUCUUUCAAAAUGUAAGGCACCAUUAAAGGGGACGCUAUGAAGAAAACAGAUAAAUUUUGAGACUAAAGACAAACGUCCAUGACAUGCAGUACUAUGAGAUAUGCGAACAACAUGAAGUGACUUCAGUGAAUUAUAAAAUCAGAAAAAAUAACAAGUGAAAAGUGAGAGUUGUGCAU